This 391-nucleotide ribosomal RNA is filed under the name Pseudocalanus sp. Its description in RNAcentral is "partial small subunit ribosomal RNA". It matches the Rfam family "Eukaryotic small subunit ribosomal RNA", at positions 582 to 975 of the family's 1831-position model. Lineage: Eukaryota; Metazoa; Arthropoda; Copepoda; Calanoida; Clausocalanidae. The record is from RNAcentral.
AUUCCAGCUCCAAUAGCGUAUAUUAAAGUUGUUGUGGUUAAAAAGCUCGUAGUUGGAUCUCGGCGGUCUGAGGGCGGUUCGCUUCAGAGCGCUACUGCCCUAUAGACCGUAGUUUUGCCAGAGGUCUCAGGGUGCUCUUAACCGAGUGUCUUGCGAUGCUGGCAGGUUUACUUUGAAAAAAUUAGAGUGCUCAAAGCAGGCUUUUACGCCUGAAUAUUCGUGCAUGGAAUAAUAGAAUAGGAAGUCGUUUCUAUUUUGUUGGUUUUCGGAAAUCGACUUAAUGAUUAAUAGGGAUAGUUGGGGGCAUUCGUAUUUAACAGUCAGAGGUGAAAUUCUUGGAUUUGUUAAAGACGGACUACUGCGAAAGCAUUUGCCAAGGAUGUUUUCAUUG